AUGCGGAGCUCCGUGCACGUCCCAGCCGCGGUGGAGGCGCUGCUGGGCCACCCGGUGGCGGCACUGUCGGAGAGGCCGGCGCCGCGGCUGUCGCGGCUGCUGGUGAACGUGACGGUGGAGCGGAGCCUGUGGCCGGUGCAUGUGGUGCUGGGCGCCGACGCUAAGGUGGCCGACCUGGCGCGUGCCACGGUCGACGCCUAUGCCGCCGAGGGUCGCAGGCCGCCGCUCCCGGCCGAGGACGGCGCAAUCGACAAGGCCGCACGGUUCUUGUUGCACCUCUCCAAAUACGCCCUCGACGCUCUGGACCCGGAGGCGAAGGUGGUGGACUUGGGCUCUCGCAACUUCUUCCUCUGCGCCCCCAGGUCGACGCUGAGAUCAGAUCAUCAUCUGCUUCUUCGCUCAUCGCUGACAUGUCUUAUGUCUGAAGGAAAGUAG
RNAcentral lists this ribosomal RNA (435 nucleotides) under Triticum aestivum (bread wheat). Its description in RNAcentral is "partial small subunit ribosomal RNA". The record is from RNAcentral. Lineage: Eukaryota; Viridiplantae; Streptophyta; Magnoliopsida; Poales; Poaceae.